RNAcentral lists this ribosomal RNA (254 nucleotides) under uncultured bacterium. Its description in RNAcentral is "partial 16S ribosomal RNA". It matches the Rfam family "Bacterial small subunit ribosomal RNA", at positions 524 to 776 of the family's 1533-position model. The record is from RNAcentral.
UACAGAGGGUGCGAGCGUUGUUCGGAAUUACUGGGCGUAAAGCGCGCGCAGGCGGCCUUUUAAGUCUGACGGUGAAAUGCCGGGGCUCAACCCCGUGCCCGCCGGAGAUACUGGGAGGCUGGAGACGAGUAGAGGCAAGCGGAAUUCCGGGUGUAGCGGUGGAAUGCGUAGAGAUCCGGAAGAACACCGGAGGCGAAGGCGGCUUGCUGGGCUCUGUCUGACGCUGAGGCGCGAAAGCGUGGGGAGCGAACAGG